CAAACACAAAACAAUACACCAUAUCCUACGCAACAAGUUUCAUCACUUUUUAAAGAGUUUUAUACUUGUUUGCUCCUACUUUUCUUUUACCAUGUCUUCUCGCUUCUCUCUAUUCUGCCUUAUGUUCCUUGCUAUUGGCAUGAUGAGCACUGUUACUCUCCCAGUAGCAGCUCAUCGCCUCCUACAACUUUCAAAGCCCACAUUGCCUAAACUCCUAGACCCAAAUCACCUUCCUGAGGAAAUGCUUCCUACAGUCCUCCUGCCUAGGCUUACUACAGUCGUGCCCGAACUUCCAAAGCCCACCUUGCCUGAACUCCGAAAGCCGAAGCGUUCAUUGCUUCAGGUAGACAUACAUCCUACUGUCGGUGCCGUGCCUAUAGUUGUAGGACUAUUACCUCCGCUAGGUGGAUUACCGAUUACACCACCCUAAAGUUCAGGCCACUGCUACUGGUUACUCUUCUAAUUUCGUCACCUCAUUAUCUAAAAUUAACUACGUUAGGUAAUAUGUAAAAAUAAAUGAGGCGGCAAGAUGAGAAUUAGGUGUCACACUAGAUAAGACGUUAUAUGUAAAAGAGGAUCCUAUAUAUAGCUAUCUUGGGACUCUUAUGUAUGUUUUUAGAGUAAUGGUAUUUUCCUAAUUCUCUUUUUUCGAUUUGCUAUGUUUAUCUCUCACUUAUGUUUAAGGUUGAGGUUGUACUAUCUAUGUAGGUAAUGAGUAAUGAGUAAUGAGUAAUGACUAAUGACGCAUUUAAAUUUAUCAAACCUUGUGGUUUGGUACUCUGUGUAGUUUGAUGUAUGUACUCCCAAUGCAAGUUUCCUGAGAUUGUUAAUUAAGAAAAUUUUCGGACCAGUAAUAGUUCAACAAGAAAUAAUUAAAGUUACCAAACAAAGUGUAUGGGUAUAAUCCAAGUAUGUUAGCGGACCACUAUGAUGAGUCCGCGAACAUUACUGCGGACGCGAGCACGACAAAUGUACCAUCCACAGCUCUAACAAGUCAGUUCACCAACAUGGUCCAACAACAUUGGCGGUCGCCUAAUAAGACAAAAGUAUGAGAAUCUUCCCACCUGUCAAUAGUGGCGGAUUUACUUAGGGUCACUGUUGGUCACGUGACCAACUAUUAUUUCUGAAAAAUAAAAUAAAAUUCAAUUGAAGCGUUUUCUCACACGCGAACUAACCCAGACCACUUCCUCUUUCCCUCUUUUUCUCCUUCGCGAAAACCCUAAGUCCUAACUAGCAGCGAGCGAAGCGCCGACGCAGCGACCGUUAGAUCUUGCCGGUGAGUUUGCCGACACACGACGCAAUUAAGUCGAACGCGAAAAAUCCUAACUAGUAGCACAGUAGCAACGGUCAGUCGAGUCGCAGUUCAGUCGAGUCGCAGUCGCCGGUGCCCGAAUCUGAUUUGUCUGAUUUGUGUGGUUUGAUUUGCGACCGACCGACAGUCACUUCUUCACUGUCACAGCGGGCGGCAGUAGGCGGCAGGGGCGGCAAACUUCAGCUCCAACCAUGGCGGUGUCUCGCUUGUUUAUAUUGAGUGUCAUGCUCAUUGCUUGCGUGAUGAGUAGCACUACCAAGCCAGUUGCAGCUCGCCGCCUUCUAGAAGAGCUUCCGAAGCCUGAGUUGCCUCAUGUGCCUGAAAUUCCUAAGCCCACGGUACCUGAACUUCCAAAGCCCAGCUUGCCUGAGGUACCGAAACCCACAUUGCCUGAACUCCCAAAGCCCGCGUUGCCUGAAGUACCCAAGCCAAAACUACCUGAAAUGCCUAAGCCAAUGUUGCCCGAGCUACCAAAGCCAAUAGUGCCUGAACUUCCAAAGCCCAAGAUGACAGAGCCUGAGACACCAAAACCACAGUACCUGAAGUGCCCAAGCCUGCAGUUCAUGAACUUCCCAAGCCCAAGAUCACUCAUGAGCCUGAAUUGCCCAAGCUUAAAGUUCCCGAGCUACCAAAACCCAUGGUGCCUGAAGUUCCCAAGCCCACAGUACCUGAGUUGCCAAAGCCAACAUUACCAGAGAUUCCCAAGCCUACAGUUCCUGAAAUUCCCAAGCCUACAGUUCCUGAAAUUCCCAAGCCCACAGUACCCGAGUUGCCAAAGCCAACAGUACCAGAAAUUCCCAAGCCUACAGUUCCUGAACUUCCCAAGCCUAAAUUGCCGGAGCUGCCAAAACCCACCGUGCCUGAAGUUCCCAAGCCAACGAUGCCCGAGGUGCCAAAGCCUACACUCCCUGAAAUGCCGAAACCUACAAUGCCUGAGUUGCCCAAGCCUGCAGUGCCGGAAGUGCAUGCCUAAGCCUUGAAGGAUCAUAUUCUAGUUUCCGGGAUUUAUAAUGUGAUAAUAUACAUUCUUUCUUUUACUGUACGUGUUAUCAUAUCUGUUGUUUCUGUCUUGAGAUUAUUGUAUUAUCCAAUUGAGCUACCUAUAUAGUUUGAUACUAUGUUGGCAUUUGAUAAUAAAUUUACAUAUAUUUUUAUUA
This is an RNA transcript of Beta vulgaris subsp. vulgaris (sugar beet), 2469 nucleotides long. It is a transcript of the gene named protein PELPK1, with no coding region annotated. NCBI's taxonomy places the organism in Eukaryota, Viridiplantae, Streptophyta, Magnoliopsida, Caryophyllales, Amaranthaceae. The record is from RefSeq and is a predicted model, not a curated record. The transcript has 4 exons.